This is a long non-coding RNA of Gigantopelta aegis, 1053 nucleotides long. RefSeq lists it as uncharacterized. The record is from RefSeq and is a predicted model, not a curated record. The transcript has 3 exons. NCBI's taxonomy places the organism in Eukaryota, Metazoa, Mollusca, Gastropoda, Neomphalida, Peltospiridae.
UGAUCAAAACAUGUGACGUCACCGUGGCUUCUCCUAUAUCGCAAGUUGGGAAUAUAUAGCUUCCGGAUUUGUUAUAGGUUCUGAAUUUAAUAUUGUUUCAAAUACAUUUAACUAAAACAUGUUUAGUUUUUAAUAAUCAGUUAUGGAUUUUUAAUGGUCGCUAAGGUCACCGACAACUGUGCUGACUAAAGAUUUCUGUGACGAACUUGAAGUUGCAGAGUUCUGUUGUGUUCGACUUUGUGCAGAGCUGAAAUGACCUUACUACCCGAUGAGAAUGAACAUCCCAUAUCCCUUGACAACUUAAGUAAUGACUCUACAGGCCCAUUAUUGAUGCUGUGCACUGCACUGUGUGCCCUCCCUGAGAAGUUUCUGCUGAAAGUUGUGUGUCUUGUUUUUUGACACCCCGCAACACACGGUGCUGGUAUGUUCAUGCAGAGACACAGGAGCCGGAAGUUUUGAACCCCAAUGGGCAUUUUCGUCAGACCGAUCUGCACUGACACAUUUGGCUGAGCUGCCUUACGACCUCGACCCUUUCGCUCUGGAUUGUCCACCUCUGUGUACAAGUUGUACAUACCAGAGUGGUAUGUACAAAUAUUACAGCACAAACGCUGCCGAGUGCAUACACCCCUUCUUUCUUCCGCCGGGAAGUCCCACAUCAGUUGACCAUGGCAUUCUGGAGCCAAAGUGCGGUGGUCGUUGUGUGUUCUAUUCAUCAUUUGCUCCAGUUUGCCCAUGUGGAGGACCCUGUAUGUGUCGGCCUCUGAUCUGUUGAUAAAACCCAAAUAGAAGCCCAUAAAUACUAGCACUACCUCAUUUCUUAAUGUUUUCUUGUAUCUAGCAUUUUCAUUGAUAGAUUAUCUCCCUUGGACUGUUGGACUGUUUUCACCAGUGCUACCAUGCCAAGUUGACAUUGUUUGCAAGCCAUAUUUUUCAAAUCUGACUCUUUGUGAUUGUGUUUGUAAUCACAUAAAUAGUGUAUUUAUCCAACAAAAAUGUGAUUUGCAUGCUACAAGGUAUGUAAUGUGUAACUUUCAUAUAAAAGGUAUAAUUUAA